GACACAGAGUAGAUGGUUGGAGAAAAUUAUUAGAUUUGAAGACUUGCCAAUUAGUCUUAAUGUCAUUUGGAUAGCAAGAAAGAAAAAGCACCGAUGGAACAGAUUCAACUGUGCUUAUCAAAUAGUACAUAAAAUGCCCCUCAGAAAACAAAGUACUCCACAUGUUUAUGAAACUAUGACUGAGAUAAAGCAACAUACCUCAGACAUUAUAAGCCAAGG
RNAcentral lists this unclassified non-coding RNA (219 nucleotides) under Hevea brasiliensis (rubber tree). The record is from RNAcentral. Lineage: Eukaryota; Viridiplantae; Streptophyta; Magnoliopsida; Malpighiales; Euphorbiaceae.